Non-coding RNA from Cynocephalus volans (Philippine flying lemur), 513 nucleotides. The record is from the annotation of a RefSeq genome assembly. NCBI's taxonomy places the organism in Eukaryota, Metazoa, Chordata, Mammalia, Dermoptera, Cynocephalidae.
AUGAAACUGUGGGGUCUUCUCCUUUGCCUUGUGACAGCUCCCAGUGGUGUCCUGUCCGAGGUGCAGCUGCAGGAGUCGGGCCCAGGACUGGUGAAGCCCUCGCAGACCCUCUCCCUCACCUGCACCGUCUCUGGUUACUCCAUCACAACCAGUGGUUACUACUGGAGCUGGAUCCGCCAGCUCUCAGGGAAGGGGCUUGAGUGGAUGGGAUACAUUAGUUAUGAAGGAAGCACCGGUUAUAACCCGUCCAUCAAGAGCCGCACCUCCAUCACCAGAGACACGUCCAAGAACCAGUUCUUCCUGCAGCUGAGCUCUGUGACCACCGAGGACACAGGCGUGUAUUACUGUGCGAGAGACACAAACGGCUCCUUCCUCCCUUUCUCUGCUCUGAACAUGUGCACCGUGUCCGUGGGGAAGCCUCCACUGCUGCUGGAGGGUGUUGACCAAGCUGUUGCUACCAGUGCCACCGGGACCCUCCGCAAGGCCACUGCCACCACCACCUCCUCGACCUGA